AUAUCUCUCUGUACGGGAAGGAUGAGAAGCUUCGACUAAGGUUCGAUUCGAGCGUCAGCGAGAAAGCGUUGCCGCAGGCAACGACCCGAAGGGCGAAGCGCG
This 102-nucleotide small RNA is filed under the name Salmonella enterica. RNAcentral describes it as "partial RtT sRNA". It matches the Rfam family "RtT RNA", at positions 1 to 100 of the family's 130-position model. Rfam says of the family: This family represents a bacterial cis-regulatory element known as RtT RNA. The exact function of RtT is unknown although it is thought that it may be involved in changing the cellular response in relation to amino acid starvation. The record is from RNAcentral. Lineage: Bacteria; Pseudomonadati; Pseudomonadota; Gammaproteobacteria; Enterobacterales; Enterobacteriaceae. RNAcentral also lists the same sequence under 5 other names.